Mauremys mutica (yellowpond turtle) is the source of this 893-nucleotide long non-coding RNA. RefSeq lists it as uncharacterized. Lineage: Eukaryota; Metazoa; Chordata; Testudines; Geoemydidae. The transcript has 4 exons. The record is from RefSeq and is a predicted model, not a curated record.
UUAAUGGAAUCGCUGGCAACAUUUUCUUCUUGUGGCUCCCAUCCGUAUUGUGGUACUUUGCUGCCCCAUUAAAAGUGAUGGCUUCAGAAAGACUUCGUAGCUUCUUGAUCAUUUAUGAAUAUGUUGAAUAGGACUGGUCCCAGUACAGACGCCUGGGGAACACUACUAUUUACGGUGAUGUGAACACCCCCUGAAACACAACACUAAUGGGAAGCACCAAUCACCCCCAGAAAGCAGUGCUGCCAAGAGGGAGGGACUCCAGUUCUGUCACUGACAUAACUGUAGAGAGAAACUUUUCACAAUCUUCGCAGUGAACAUUAAACAUGAGGGGUGACAAAACAGUCGCACAAAAUGCUUCAUUAGGGAUCCCUUGCCACAGAUGGGAAGUUGUCUGAACCCAUCUUCAGAAACUGAUGCAACACCCACUGAAGUUAAUGAGGGCUUUUCCUGCGAGGUAAAUUCAGAACUGCUCAAGCACAAAUUCCUCCCAGCCAAUGUUGGCAAUCAAAUGAAGAGUUUUGACAAAGUGAGUCAGCAUGAAUACCUGACAGUUGACCAUUGUCAGAAGAAGACACCCCAUUUAUGAAUAGGGAGGACUCCAUUCAGUAAAAAUACUAAAUUACACAGUUUCGGUCCUGCAGGGUCAGUGGUGGCUGUAGAGUCUUUCUAUGGCAGGGUGUCUCUUGCACUGAGAAUUAUCUGCAUGCAUGUAUUUGUGGGAGGGUGGUUCUCUAUGCCACAUUUGAAUAGGGAAGUGAAGAGGUAGGGUUAGGAUAACUUUGUUUCCCGUGCUUCAUUGACAAUAAACCUGGCCAGGCACCUUCACUACUAAACCAAGUCUUGUGGUCUUAUUGGGCAGUUCGAUUGGAGCCUGCUGCAUGGGCUAUCUGGCC